RNAcentral lists this ribosomal RNA (427 nucleotides) under uncultured bacterium. Its description in RNAcentral is "partial 16S ribosomal RNA". It matches the Rfam family "Bacterial small subunit ribosomal RNA", at positions 355 to 774 of the family's 1533-position model. The record is from RNAcentral.
UGGGGAAUAUUGGACAAUGGGCGAAAGCCUGAUCCAGCCAUGCCGCGUGUGUGAAGAAGGUCUUCGGCUUGUAAAGCACUUUAAGUUGGGAGGAAGGGCAUUAACCUAAUACGUUAGUGUUUUGACGUUACCGACAGAAUAAGCACCGGCUAACUCUGUGCCAGCAGCCGCGGUAAUACAGAGGGUGCAAGCGUUAAUGGGAAUUACUGGGCGUAAAGCGCGCGUAGGUGGUUUGUUAAGUUGGAUGUGAAAUCCCCGGGCUCAACCUGGGAACUGCAUUCAAAACUGACUGACUAGAGUAUGGUAGAGGGUGGUGGAAUUUCCUGUGUAGCGGUGAAAUGCGUAGAUAUAGGAAGGAACACCAGUGGCGAAGGCGACCACCUGGACUAAUACUGACACUGAGGUGCGAAAGCGUGGGGAGCAAACA